RNAcentral lists this RNase P RNA (407 nucleotides) under Desulfatirhabdiaceae bacterium. Its description in RNAcentral is "RNase P RNA component class A". It matches the Rfam family "Bacterial RNase P class A". From Rfam's summary of the family: Ribonuclease P (RNase P) is a ubiquitous endoribonuclease, found in archaea, bacteria and eukarya as well as chloroplasts and mitochondria. Lineage: Bacteria; Pseudomonadati; Thermodesulfobacteriota; Desulfobacteria; Desulfobacterales; Desulfatirhabdiaceae. The record is from RNAcentral.
GAAGCAGAACAGACGAUCGCCGGAUUCAACAGGGUCCGGAGGAAAGUCCGAACACCACAGGGCAGGGUGCUCCAUAACGUGGAGUCGUGGUAACGCGAAGGAAAGUGCAACAGAAAAUAUACCGCCCGGCGCUUUUCGAUUUUCGCGCGUAUUGCGGAAAUUGAAAAUGGCCGGGUAAGGGUGAAAUGGUGCGGUAAGAGCGCACCAGUUCUUCGGGUGACCGGAGAAGCUUUGUAAACCCCACCUGGUGCAAGACCAAAUAGAGGAGCGCUUGAAGGCGGCCCGCCUGAGCUCCCGGGUAGGUUGCAGGAGGCGUCUGGUAACAGGCGUCCGCAGAGGAAUGAUCGUCAGCCGGAAUCGGGUAACCGGUUCCGGAUACAGGAUUCGGCUUACGGUCUGCUCCGGCC